Aphis gossypii (cotton aphid) is the source of this 313-nucleotide long non-coding RNA. RefSeq lists it as uncharacterized. The transcript has 3 exons. NCBI's taxonomy places the organism in Eukaryota, Metazoa, Arthropoda, Insecta, Hemiptera, Aphididae. The record is from RefSeq and is a predicted model, not a curated record.
CCUGUAUAACUUAGUCCAUGGACAGUAAAUAUUGACUAACUUUUUUUUUUGUGUGUAACAUAGUUAUAAAAAAAUUAUUUAUCUAUAAUUGUUAGUGUUUAAAAUGUCUAAUUCAAUCAACAUAUGCAUACUUAUACAAAGCUUAGGAGUACAUUAUAAGUUUAUCUUCAACUCAAGUCAAUCAUGAGCAUGCGAUCAGUUAAAAAAAAUCAAGAACUAACCAUCAUUAUUGAUAAUUUUAUUUGCGGAUUUACCAUGGAUAAAUGAAUUCCACUGAUACCCAUAUCUUCACGAUGAAAAACAAGGUAAUUUU